GGGACGCUUACCACUUUGUGGUUCAUGACUGGGGUGAAGUCGUAACAAGGUAGCGCUAGGGGAACCUGGCGCUGGAUCACCUCCUUAUACGAUGAU
This 96-nucleotide ribosomal RNA is filed under the name Vibrio parahaemolyticus. RNAcentral describes it as "partial 16S ribosomal RNA". It matches the Rfam family "Bacterial small subunit ribosomal RNA", at positions 1447 to 1533 of the family's 1533-position model. The record is from RNAcentral. Lineage: Bacteria; Pseudomonadati; Pseudomonadota; Gammaproteobacteria; Vibrionales; Vibrionaceae.